This 407-nucleotide ribosomal RNA is filed under the name uncultured bacterium. Its description in RNAcentral is "partial 16S ribosomal RNA". It matches the Rfam family "Bacterial small subunit ribosomal RNA", at positions 30 to 526 of the family's 1533-position model. The record is from RNAcentral.
AUUGAACGCUGGCGGCAGGCCUAACACAUGCAAGUCGAGCGGAGCGGCGGACGGGUGAGUAAUGCCUAGGAAUCUGCCUGUUAGUGGGGGAUAACGUCCCGAACCGGGCGCUAAUACCGCAUACUAUCAGAUUAGCCUAGGUCGGAUUAGCUAGUUGGUGGGGUAAAGGCCUACCAAGGCGACGAUCCGUAACUGGUCUGAGAGGAUGAUCAGUAACAAUGGAACUGAGAAACGGUCCAGGCGCCUAGGGGAGGCACCAGGGGGGAAUAUUGGAAAAUGGGAGAAAGCCUGAUCCAGCAAUGCCGGGGUGGUGAAGAAGGUCUUCGGUUUGUAAAGACCUUAAGGGGGGGAGGCGUUACCAACAGAAUAAGCACCGGCUAACUUCGUGCCAGCAGCCGCGGUAAUUC